GGAGAUGGCUCAGUGGUAGAGCGCAUGGCUCAGCAUUCACCAAGUCCUGGGUUCAAUCCCUAGUACCUCCA
Molecule: transfer RNA, 71 nt
Filed under: Camelus ferus (Wild Bactrian camel)
Lineage: Eukaryota; Metazoa; Chordata; Mammalia; Artiodactyla; Camelidae
Rfam family: tRNA
About the family: Transfer RNA (tRNA) molecules are approximately 80 nucleotides in length. Their secondary structure includes four short double-helical elements and three loops (D, anti-codon, and T loops).
Source: Rfam by way of RNAcentral